GUGGGGGAGGGAUCGGGCAGAGAUGUGGGGGGACCCCAGGGCUCCAUGGGCCCUGAGGGGGGGUCAUGGGGGUCAUGGGGAAGGAGAUGUUGGGACCAGCCACCUCACCUCCCAUCCUGACCCCCAGGAGGCUCCCAGGAUCAGCCCUUCCCCCCCACGGACUCAGGCCCCCGCAGGGGUAAGUGCGGGUCUGUGGAGAGGGGUCCGUGGGGGGCAGGGUGGGGCUGUGCCCCCAAGUCAGGCACCUCUGGACACUCAGACUUGGAUGCCCCCACCCCCCGAGGGCCUCUGCCUGUCCACAUGUCAAAGGAGAGAGUCCAGGCCCAGAGCUCGGGGGUCCUUCCAGGUCUGAUUCUGCCGGGACCCACGGGAACAGGAGGCCCCCGGGAGGGACUGGAUGGGGGACUGGAUGGGGCCUGUCCCCUCUUGGCCUGAUGGUGACACUGUGGGUGGGAGGGGGCGGGGGCAGGACAGGGGUCCAGGGGUCCAGGCGCUUCCCCUUCAGCCUGGGGAGCUCAGCUCCCGGAGGAAGUGUGAGGGCUGGGCUCAGACUCCUGGCUGCAGUCCCCGCUCCCGCUGUCAGACCAGCCAGGGGCCUCCCUCCUCAGAGUCUCGGGUCCGAGGCUGGUGGGCUCCCUGGUCCCCUGCCCCGGGAUCACAGGGCUGCCAUCAGGCCUCCCAUGGUAUCUGAGCCUUCUGAUCGGGGUCUCAGUGGCCUUCGUCCUGCUGCUGCUCCUCCUCCUCUUCCUCCUCUUCCGACAUCGACACCGACACCGGGGUCAGGACAGAUGCAGGAAGUCAGGGGCUGCAGACCCAGAGCCCGAGGACAGAGGCCUGCAGAACAGGUGACUCCUGCCCCAAAGACCCCAGGCUCCCAGCUGCCCGCAGCCCCGUCCGCCCCUAACACCCCCAUCUCCUCCCAGCUCCAGCCCAGCCGCCGACGCCCAGGACCAGAACCUCUGUGAGCAGAAGAGGAGGGCAGCCCUGGGGGUGGGCAUGGAGAGCUCUGCAGCAGGGGGGGAUCCCUGGGGUGGGGGACGAGCACUGAUGCAGC
RNAcentral lists this long non-coding RNA (1054 nucleotides) under Sus scrofa (pig). RNAcentral describes it as "lncRNA (ENSSSCG00055015796.1)". Lineage: Eukaryota; Metazoa; Chordata; Mammalia; Artiodactyla; Suidae. The record is from RNAcentral.